AUUGAACGCUGGCGGCAUGCCUUACACAUGCAAGUCGAACGGCAGCACGGGAGCAAUCCUGGUGGCGAGUGGCGAACGGGUGAGUAAAGUAUCGGAACGUGCCCAGUCGUGGGGGAUAACGUAGCGAAAGUUACGCUAAUACCGCAUACGAUCUAUGGAUGAAAGCGGGGGAUCGCAAGACCUCGCGCGAUUGGAGCGGCCGAUAUCAGAUGAGGUAGUUGGUGGGGUAAAGGCUCACCAAGCCGACGAUCUGUAGCUGGUCUGAGAGGACGACCAGCCGCACUGGGACUGAGACACGGCCCAGACUCCUACGGGAGGCAGCAGUGGGGAAUUUUGGACAAUGGGCGAAAGCCUGAUCCAGCCAUGCCGCGUGCAGGAUGAAGGCCUUCGGGUUGUAAACUGCUUUUGUACGGAACGAAAAGGUUUGGGCUAAUAAGCUGAGCUCAUGACGGUACCGUAAGAAUAAGCACCGGCUAACUACGUGCCAGCCGCCGCGGUAA
RNAcentral lists this ribosomal RNA (500 nucleotides) under uncultured bacterium. RNAcentral's name for it is "partial 16S ribosomal RNA". It matches the Rfam family "Bacterial small subunit ribosomal RNA", at positions 30 to 523 of the family's 1533-position model. The record is from RNAcentral.